RNAcentral lists this ribosomal RNA (482 nucleotides) under uncultured bacterium. RNAcentral describes it as "bacterial SSU rRNA". It matches the Rfam family "Bacterial small subunit ribosomal RNA", at positions 30 to 507 of the family's 1533-position model. The record is from RNAcentral.
AUUGAACGCUGGCGGCAUGCUUUACACAUGCAAGUCGAACGGUAACAGGUCUUCGGAUGCUGACGAGUGGCGAACGGGUGAGUAAUACAUCGGAACGUGCCCGAUCGUGGGGGAUAACGGAGCGAAAGCUUUGCUAAUACCGCAUACGAUCUACGGAUGAAAGCAGGGGACCGCAAGGCCUUGCGCGGACGGAGCGGCCGAUGGCAGAUUAGCUUGUUGGUAAGGUAAGAGCUUACCAAGGCGACGAUCAGUAUCUGGUUUGAGAGGACGAUCAGACACACUGGAACUGAGACACGGUCCAGACUCCUACGGGAGGCAGCAGUGGGGAAUUUUGGACAAUGGGCGAAAGCCUGAUCCAGCCAUGCCGCGUGAGUGAAGAAGGCCUUCGGGUUGUAAAGCUCUUUCGGCUGGGAAGAAAUCGCACAGGCUAAUACUCUGUGUGGAUGACGGUACCAGCACAAGAAGCACCGGCUAACUACGUG